AAUCAACGCUGGCGGCGUGCCUCAGACAUGCAAGUCGAACGCGAAAGUUCCCUUCGGGGGAUAAGUAGAGUGGCGUCCGGGUGAGUAACACGUAGGUAAUCUACCUUUGGGUGGGGAAUAACAACCGGAAACGGUUGCUAAUACCGCAUAAUGCAGCGGCACCACAUGGUGACAGUUGUUAAAGCGGGGGAUCGCAAGACCUCGCGCCUAAAGAGGAGCCUGCGGCGGAUUAGCUAGUUGGAGGGUAACGGCCUACCAAGGCAACGAUCCGUAGCCGGCCUGAGAGGGCGGUCGGCCACACUGACACUGAAAUACGGGUCAGACUCCUACGGGAGGCAGCAGUCGGGAAUUUUGGGCAAUGGGCGAAAGCCUGACCCAGCAACGCCGCGUGAAGGAUGAAAUCCCUCGGGAUGUAAAC
RNAcentral lists this ribosomal RNA (418 nucleotides) under uncultured bacterium. RNAcentral's name for it is "bacterial SSU rRNA". It matches the Rfam family "Bacterial small subunit ribosomal RNA", at positions 32 to 430 of the family's 1533-position model. The record is from RNAcentral.